This 68-nucleotide transfer RNA is filed under the name Sorex gracillimus (slender shrew). RNAcentral's name for it is "tRNA-Thr". It matches the Rfam family "tRNA". Rfam says of the family: Transfer RNA (tRNA) molecules are approximately 80 nucleotides in length. Lineage: Eukaryota; Metazoa; Chordata; Mammalia; Eulipotyphla; Soricidae. The record is from RNAcentral.
GCCCUUGUAGUAUAAUUAUUAUACUGGUCUUGUAAACCAGAGAUGGAGACUCAUAUCUCCCAAAGACA